GAAACGAAGACGUCAACCGCCAUGGCGCCUCGACUGCUUUGGAGUUAUCCGGCUCGUCGAUUCGACACGCAGAAGACUUAAGACGAUAUCAAAAGGCCCAGGAAUCGACGCAGCUUUGCAGUCAUGGUCGGGGAGCUUGUCUUUAGGUGGAUGGAAUCUCUGCGUCUUAAGACUGACGAAAGAACCUUUCGGCUGAUGGAGAGGAGAGACGACGGAGAAGUUUUGGGAGACGACCACACACGACAAGAGUGUGGUCUAUCGCGUAAGUUUCAACUGGAUUUAAGUCUCUGGUGGACCGCAGCAUUGAUGAGCAGUGUGACUGGCAACCAAGACGAAAUAAGUUCGAGACACGUGGCAAAAAUGUUGCGGUGAGAAAUUGAGAGGCAACCACCUGUUGAUCGUCAUUACGUCGUUGAAAUGUCGGGUUUGGUAAACAUGCCUUGUCAAAAAAAUUUAAGGAGUAUAUUCGUAUGUCA
Long non-coding RNA from Selaginella moellendorffii, 476 nucleotides. RefSeq lists it as uncharacterized. The transcript has 2 exons. Lineage: Eukaryota; Viridiplantae; Streptophyta; Lycopodiopsida; Selaginellales; Selaginellaceae. The record is from RefSeq and is a predicted model, not a curated record.